This 914-nucleotide ribosomal RNA is filed under the name uncultured bacterium. RNAcentral's name for it is "bacterial SSU rRNA". It matches the Rfam family "Bacterial small subunit ribosomal RNA", at positions 9 to 920 of the family's 1533-position model. The record is from RNAcentral.
GAGUUUGAUCCUGGCUCAGGAUGAACGCUGGCGGCGUGCCUAAUACAUGCAAGUCGAACGAAUCUUCUUCGGAAGAUGAGUGGCGAACGGGUGAGUAAUACAUAGGUAACCUGCCCCUGUGCGGGGGAUAACAGGAGGAAACUCCUGCUAAUACCGCAUAGCCAUGAGCACCGCAUGGAGCUCAUGCCAAAUAUCCUUCAGGGGAUAGCGCAGGGAUGGACCUAUGGCGCAUUAGCUAGUUGGCGGGGCAACGGCCCACCAAGGCAACGAUGCGUAGCCGGCCUGAGAGGGCGGACGGCCACAUUGGGACUGAGACACGGCCCAGACUCCUACGGGAGGCAGCAGUAGGGAAUUUUCGGCAAUGGGGGAAACCCUGACCGAGCAACGCCGCGUGAGCGAAGAAGGCCUUCGGGUCGUAAAGCUCUGUUGUAAAGGAAGAACGUCGCAUACAGGAAAUGGUGUGCGAGUGACGGUACUUUACCAGAAAGCCACGGCUAACUACGUGCCAGCAGCCGCGGUAAUACGUAGGUGGCGAGCGUUAUCCGGAAUCAUUGGGCGUAAAGAGGGAGCAGGCGGCCGCAAGGGUCUGUGGUGAAAGACCGAAGCUAAACUUCGGUAAGCCAUGGAAACCGGGCGGCUAGAGUGCGGAAGAGGAUCGUGGAAUUCCAUGUGUAGCGGUGAAAUGCGUAGAUAUAUGGAGGAACACCAGUGGCGAAGGCGACGGUCUGGGCCGCAACUGACGCUCAUUCCCGAAAGCGUGGGGAGCAAAUAGGAUUAGAUACCCUAGUAGUCCACGCCGUAAACGAUGGUCACUAAGUGUCGGGGGUCAAACCCCGGUGCUGCAGUCAACGCAAUAAGUGACCCGCCUGAGUAGUACGUUCGCAAGAAUGAAACUCAAAUGAAUUGACGGAAGG